AUUCUGAGCAUUUUGAUCAAAGUAAGUUCUACUAAGUGAAAAUUGACUGGAUCUGUUAUUGACUGUCUCAUUUCUGCAAAGAUAAGAAAAAGUCAGGAGAAAAGAGAGUGUACUGAGAAACACUGGUGAAAUUAGAGUCAAGACAGAAGAGUUGUUCAUUAUUGUUACGCCCCAUGGUGUCCAUCCUGCCAGCAGACUGAUUCAGAAUGGGAGGCUUUUGCAAAGAAUGGUGAAAUACUUCAGAUCAGUGUGGGGAAGGUAGAUGUCAUUCAAGAACCAGGUUUGAGUGGCCGCUUCUUUGUCACCACUCUCCCAGCAUUUUUUCAUGCAAAGGAUGGGAUAUUCCGCCGUUAUCGUGGCCCAGGAAUCUUCGAAGACCUGCAGAAUUAUAUCUUAGAGAAGAAAUGGCAAUCAGUUGAGCCUCUGACUGGCUGGAAAUCCCCGGCUUCUCUAACGAUGUCUGGAAUGGCUGGUCUUUUUAGCAUCUCUGGCAAGAUAUGGCAUCUUCACAACUAUUUCACAGUGACUCUUGGAAUUCCUGCUUGGUGUUCUUAUGUCUUUUUCGUC
RNAcentral lists this small RNA (567 nucleotides) under Pongo abelii (Sumatran orangutan). RNAcentral's name for it is "processed transcript". Lineage: Eukaryota; Metazoa; Chordata; Mammalia; Primates; Hominidae. The record is from RNAcentral.